GAGCUUGCUCCUUGGGUGACGAGUGGCGGACGGGUGAGUAAUGUCUGGGAAACUGCCCGAUGGAGGGGGAUAACUACUGGAAACGGUAGCUAAUACCGCAUAACGUCGCAAGACCAAAGUGGGGGACCUUCGGGCCUCACACCAUCGGAUGUGCCCAGAUGGGAUUAGCUAGUAGGUGGGGUAAUGGCUCACCUAGGCGACGAUCCCUAGCUGGUCUGAGAGGAUGACCAGCCACACUGGAACUGAGACACGGUCCAGACUCCUACGGGAGGCAGCAGUGGGGAAUAUUGCACAAUGGGCGCAAGCCUGAUGCAGCCAUGCCGCGUGUAUGAAGAAGGCCUUCGGGUUGUAAAGUACUUUCAGCGGGGAGGAAGGCGGUGAGGUUAAUAACCUCACCGAUUGACGUUACCCGCAGAAGAAGCACCGGCUAACUCCGUGCCAGCAGCCGCGGUAAUACGGAGGGUGCAAGCGUUAAUCGGAAUUACUGGGCGUAAAGCGCACGCAGGCGGUCUGUCAAGUCGGAUGUGAAAUCCCCGGGCUUAACCUGGGAACUGCAUUCGAAACUGGCAGGCUAGAGUCUCGUAGAGGGGGGUAGAAUUCCAGGUGUAGCGGUGAAAUGCGUAGAGAUCUGGAGGAAUACCGGUGGCGAAGGCGGCCCCCUGGACGAAGA
RNAcentral lists this ribosomal RNA (670 nucleotides) under bacterium EAB-4IL3.02. RNAcentral's name for it is "bacterial SSU rRNA". It matches the Rfam family "Bacterial small subunit ribosomal RNA", at positions 76 to 739 of the family's 1533-position model. The record is from RNAcentral.